RNAcentral lists this transfer RNA (71 nucleotides) under Capra hircus (goat). It matches the Rfam family "tRNA". From Rfam's summary of the family: Transfer RNA (tRNA) molecules are approximately 80 nucleotides in length. Their secondary structure includes four short double-helical elements and three loops (D, anti-codon, and T loops). Further hydrogen bonds mediate the characteristic L-shaped molecular structure. tRNAs have two regions of fundamental functional importance: the anti-codon, which is responsible for specific mRNA codon recognition, and the 3' end, to which the tRNAs corresponding amino acid is attached (by aminoacyl-tRNA synthetases). tRNAs cope with the degeneracy of the genetic code in two manners: having more than one tRNA (with a specific anti-codon) for a particular amino acid; and 'wobble' base-pairing, i.e. permitting non-standard base-pairing at the 3rd anti-codon position. RNAcentral also lists the same sequence under 1 other name. The record is from Rfam by way of RNAcentral. Lineage: Eukaryota; Metazoa; Chordata; Mammalia; Artiodactyla; Bovidae.
UCCCUGGUGGUCUAGUGGCUAAGACUCUGCUCCCAAUUCAACAGGCCCAGGUUCAAUCCCUAGUCAGGGAA